RNAcentral lists this long non-coding RNA (886 nucleotides) under Cyanistes caeruleus (blue tit). RNAcentral's name for it is "lncRNA (ENSCCEG00000019513.1)". The record is from RNAcentral. Lineage: Eukaryota; Metazoa; Chordata; Aves; Passeriformes; Paridae.
UUUUUUUUUUUUCAUAUUGCACUGAAAAGGGCAGAACUACUGCAGCAGCAACAUUUGGGGGAUAUCAGACAAACCCCAUCCGCUCUGUUCUCCAGAAUCAGCAAAGCAAUUUGUGAGCACUUUGUUAAUUUGGCAUUUUUUAUUGCUCUAGAGUCCCUUUCUUGUCUCCCAGGUGACCUGUGGUGAACCAGAUCCCCCAGACGUGCUCCAGUGCAAGCAGGAAUCCUGGAGUGCACUGGAUUUGCAGCAGGAUGAAGGAGCCUCUCACCUUCCUCUAUCAAAAGGCUGACAGUAAGAGCACACAGAGAGAAGCACGAGAGUUCUAAAAGCUGCUUUUGCAAGCCCAGAUGUGAAAGCGUGGUGCAUAAUCUCUCCUGUUAACUUCUGUUUCUCUAAUAAAGUUAUAGAGAAGUCUUCUGAUCAUCCAGCUAUGAAAAGCACCAUGACUGGUUCUGCCCAGAAGCUGCAUGAAUACAUGUGGAGCAGAAAAGUUGCUCUUUAUAGCCAGCUGUAAAAUUCUUUCAAGCCCUGUGAAUGUUCAAGCCUGAGAAGGCUUUUCUCACCAAGAUAUAGAAUAGCUUCAGCAUACCAGCCUUCAGCAGUGUGUAUAAGUCAAGAUUUCACUCCAAGCCUUUCACUCCACUUUAUUGGUGAAACUCAAAGUCAGUCAGCCCAUUUCAAGAAGAAAAAUGGCAUUUGGUUCCAGAGAAAAAUGUCAUGUCCCUCAGUCCUAUGUGAAUGAGCCAAUGGUUUAAAGAGCUACCUGAGCAGUGAAGCUGCUAACUCUCUAAGCACAAUGGAGUUUCUUCCAGGUGAUGUACUAAAAUAUUGCUAAACUGCAAGUAUGGACAGUAUUGAAUAAAGUCUUCUUUUUGUGUAUUUAGCA